RNAcentral lists this unclassified non-coding RNA (329 nucleotides) under soil metagenome. RNAcentral's name for it is "partial contains 5.8S ribosomal RNA, internal transcribed spacer 2, and large subunit ribosomal RNA". The stretch from base 1 to 120 matches the Rfam family "5.8S ribosomal RNA", at positions 35 to 154 of the family's 154-position model. The record is from RNAcentral.
GAUGAAGAACGUAGCGAAAUGCGAUAAGUAGUGUGAAUUGCAGAAUUCAGUGAAUCAUCGAAUCUUUGAACGCACAUUGCGCCCCUUGGUAUCCCGAGGGGCAUGCCUGUUCGAGCGUCAUUUCACCACUCAAGCCUGGCUUGGUGUUGGGCGACGUCCCCUUUGGGGACGCGCCUCGAAACGCUCGACGGCGUGGCACCGGCUUUAAGCGUAGCAGAAUCUUUCGCUUUGGAAGUCGGGGCCCCGUCUGCCGGAAGACCUACUCGCAAGGUUGACCUCGGAUCAGGCAGGGAUACCCGCUGAACUUAAGCAUAUCAAUAAGCGGAGGA